Rhipicephalus sanguineus (brown dog tick) is the source of this 438-nucleotide long non-coding RNA. RefSeq lists it as uncharacterized. The transcript is spliced from 2 exons. The record is from RefSeq and is a predicted model, not a curated record. Lineage: Eukaryota; Metazoa; Arthropoda; Arachnida; Ixodida; Ixodidae.
AACGCCAGCAGUACGCCGUCACUAUAACCUAAUAUGGUCUACCCAAGGUUGGGAGCCACACACGGUUAACAAUUGCCGCCAGGAAAAAUCGGAAGUAACGAGAAGAGAGGAGUAGACAGGAAAGAUUUAAAGUGAGAGAGAAAGACGAAGAUGUGGGGAGAGAGAGACAGGAAAAGGCGACUGCCGAUUUCCCCUGGGUGGGUCAGCCCAGGGGUGCCGUCUACGUGAAGCCAGGGCCAAAGGGGUGUGUUGCCUCUGCCGGGGGGCCUUAAAGGUCCAAUCACCCAGCGUCGGCUCAACCCCCAGGAUCCCCUUUUCCCCGGACACGGCAAAGCCACGCACGGCUAGGCGUGGGAGGGGGUCGAAACCCCCCCGUUAGCUCGGGUCCGUGGUGUCGCUACACACCAAACGCCUGCUUGCGCAGACGCCCCUGCGGGG